Molecule: long non-coding RNA, 591 nt
Organism: Aplysia californica (California sea hare)
Lineage: Eukaryota; Metazoa; Mollusca; Gastropoda; Aplysiida; Aplysiidae
Exons: 2
Source: RefSeq, a predicted model, not a curated record
CACUCUGACGAGUGCAUGUGCGCUGAGCAACAAGUGGGUGAUAAUCUCUAUAUAACAUUUCUUGUCCCAAAACAGACUCGUUUCACCUGUCGCCUGCCGUGAAAGGUUACCCGUAUAGCAGGGAUGAGCUAUAAAACUUGGCUCGCUUUGCAGUAAAAACAUUUGGAAGCGCUUUACUCCAAAGCAAAGUUUGUCAAAAAGAAAAGUUUGUAUUCAACGGUUAUUCUUAUGGAUAAAGACAUAGCCGCAUUCAAACGGAUAUUACAUCGUCUCCAGUGCUCUGGCAGGAAUUAAACCGUUCUUGAUUUCCGGCUGGUAAACUGCACUCGGGUUGAGUCCGUGUCAGCGGAGAUGGCCGUAUAGAAACAAUGCCAUUUGCAGAUUGGCAGCUGCCUUUGACGCCGGCCUGACGACAUUCUACAAGGGGAACUAACCCUGGACAAUCUCGCCGGUUCUCGGCGUCUGCUCAGCGGGGCGUGAGCUAAACAAAGGUCUGCAAUUGUUGCAGCAAACAUGGUCGGCAUCUGACAGGUCUUCGCUCAUCAGCUCAGCACGAGGGACGAAAAACAAAACUUAAACUAGACUGCUAAA